CAUCAGAUGACUGAAAGAAAGUAAUGGUCUCUUAAACCAACCUAUAGUAAGUAACGCCUACUUCUGAUG
RNAcentral lists this transfer RNA (69 nucleotides) under Scolytus seulensis. RNAcentral describes it as "tRNA-Lys". The record is from RNAcentral. Lineage: Eukaryota; Metazoa; Arthropoda; Insecta; Coleoptera; Curculionidae.